Molecule: long non-coding RNA, 757 nt
Organism: Gasterosteus aculeatus aculeatus (three-spined stickleback)
Lineage: Eukaryota; Metazoa; Chordata; Actinopteri; Perciformes; Gasterosteidae
Source: Ensembl
GCAUGGUAGAAGGUGGUCUGGUGGAAGGUGGUCUGGUAGAAGGUGGUCUGGUGGAAGGUGGUCUGGUAGAAGGUGGUCUGGUGGAAGGGGCAUGGUGGAAGGUGGUCUGUUGGAAGGGGCAUGGUAGAAGGUGGUCUGGUGGAAGGGGCAUGGUGGAAGGUGGUCUGGUAGAAGGUGGUCUGGUGGAAGGUGGUCUGGUGGAAGGUGGUCUGGUGGAAGGGGCAUGGUAGAAGGUGGUCUGGUGGAAGGUGGUCUGGUAGAAGGGGGUCUGGUAGAAGGUGGUCUGGUGGAAGGUAGUCUGGUGGAAGGUGGUCUGGUGGAAGGGGCAUGGUGGAAGGUGGUCUGGUGGAAGGCGGCAUGGUGGAAGGUGGUCUGGUGGAAGGGGCAUGGUGGAAGGUGGUCUGGUGAAAGAUGGUCUGGUAGAAGGUGGUCUGGUGGAAGAUGGUCUGGUGGAAGGGGCAUGGUGGAAGGUGGUCUGGUGGAAGGGGGCAUGGUGGAAGGGGCAUGGUGGAAGGUGGUCUGGUGGAAGAUGGUCUGGUAGAAGGGGCAUGGUGGAAGGUGGUCUGGUGGAAGGGGCAUGGUGGAAGGUGGUCUGGUGGAAGGGGCAUGGUGGAAGAUGGUCUGGUAGAAGGGGCAUGGUGGAAGGUGGUCUGGUGGAAGAUGGUCUGGUAGAAGGGGCAUGGUGGAAGGUGGUCUGGUGGAAGGGGCAUGGUGGAAGGUGGUCUGGUGGAAGAUGGUCUGGUAGAAGGUGGUCUGG